GAUGAACGCUGGCGGCGUGCCUAAUACAUGCAAGUCGAGCGAACGGACGAGACGCUUGCUUCUCUUUUGUUAGCGACGGACGGGUGAUUAACACGUGGCUGACCUCCCUAUAGGACUUGGAUAACUUCGGGAACCCGAAGCCAAUACCGCAUAUUAUCUUGACCUGCAUGUAUCAAAAGUCACCGUCGGUCUUGUGUUCACUUUUACAUGGCUCCGCGCUUCUUUAGCUACUUGGUACGGUAACGGCUUACCAAUGCAACUCCGCAUAGCCGACCUGACAGGGUGAUCGGCCACACUGGGACUGAGACACGGUCCCGACUCCUACGGGAGGCAGCAGUAGGGAAUCUUCGGCAAUGGGCGAAAACCUAACGGAGCAACGCCGCGUGAGUGAUGAAGGUCUUCGGAUCGUAAACCUCUGUUAUUAGGGAAGAACAUAUGUGUAAGUAGCUGUGCACAUCUUGACGGUACCUAUUCAGAAAGCCACGGCUAACUACGUG
RNAcentral lists this ribosomal RNA (497 nucleotides) under uncultured bacterium. RNAcentral's name for it is "partial 16S ribosomal RNA". It matches the Rfam family "Bacterial small subunit ribosomal RNA", at positions 28 to 507 of the family's 1533-position model. The record is from RNAcentral.